RNAcentral lists this transfer RNA (484 nucleotides) under uncultured Synechococcus sp. RNAcentral's name for it is "partial 16S-23S ribosomal RNA intergenic spacer". The stretch from base 185 to 258 matches the Rfam family "tRNA". Lineage: Bacteria; Bacillati; Cyanobacteriota; Cyanophyceae; Synechococcales; Synechococcaceae. The record is from RNAcentral.
CAGGGAGACAAACAAUGAUUUUGAUGUCUGAGUUUUUUUAUUCUUAGGCCAAAAUCCUGUCACCUUAGGUCGAUCGGUACCUCAACUUUGAAGCUAAGAGAAUCCAGCAAUGGAUUUCUGCUUAGUGGAGAAUUUUAGUUCCUAAACUUUGUCUAGUUCACAACCCAUUAGGGAUGAGACUCCUGGGCCAUUAGCUCAGGUGGUUAGAGCGCACCCCUGAUAAGGGUGAGGUCCCUGGUUCAAGUCCAGGAUGGCCCAUUCGGUGUAGGGGGUUUAGCUCAGUUGGUAUAGCGCCUGCUUUGCAAGCAGGAUGUCAGGAGUUCUAGUCUCCUAACCUCCACUGACGACCAAGAUUCCCCAUCUCCAAAGCCUGGGAGUAGGAACUCGUGUGGGAUGGGUAUUUGAAAUGGGUCGGCUGGAUGACCCUAACAUCUUGUCAUUUUAAGGCGUGGGAAAUAUUCCGGAGAGGUUUGUUUGAUAGGAU